Molecule: ribosomal RNA, 411 nt
Filed under: Salmonella enterica subsp. enterica serovar Stanley
Lineage: Bacteria; Pseudomonadati; Pseudomonadota; Gammaproteobacteria; Enterobacterales; Enterobacteriaceae
Description: partial 23S ribosomal RNA
Rfam family: Bacterial large subunit ribosomal RNA
Source: RNAcentral
UGGGCGUUAAGUUGCAGGGUAUAGACCCGAAACCCGGUGAUCUAGCCAUGGGCAGGUUGAAGGUUGGGUAACACUAACUGGAGGACCGAACCGACUAAUGUUGAAAAAUUAGCGGAUGACCUGUGGCUGGGGGUGAAAGGCCAAUCAAACCGGGAGAUAGCUGGUUCUCCCCGAAAGCUAUUUAGGUAGCGCCUCGUGAAUUCAUCUCCGGGGGUAGAGCACUGUUUCGGCUAGGGGGCCAUCCCGGCUUACCAACCCGAUGCAAACUGCGAAUACCGGAGAAUGUUAUCACGGGAGACACACGGCGGGUGCUAACGUCCGUCGUGAAGAGGGAAACAACCCAGACCGCCAGCUAAGGUCCCAAAGUCAUGGUUAAGUGGGAAACGAUGUGGGAAGGCCCAGACAGCCAGG